RNAcentral lists this ribosomal RNA (484 nucleotides) under uncultured bacterium. RNAcentral describes it as "partial 16S ribosomal RNA". It matches the Rfam family "Bacterial small subunit ribosomal RNA", at positions 30 to 507 of the family's 1533-position model. The record is from RNAcentral.
AUUGAACGCUGGCGGCAGGCCUAACACAUGCAAGUCGAGCGGAUGAAGGGAGCUUGCUCCUGGAUUCAGCGGCGGACGGGUGAGUAAUGCCUAGGAAUCUGCCUGGUAGUGGGGGAUAACGUCCGGAAACGGGCGCUAAUACCGCAUACGUCCUGAGGGAGAAAGUGGGGGAUCUUCGGACCUCACGCUAUCAGAUGAGCCUAGGUGGGAUUAGCUAGUUGGUGGGGUAAAGGCCUACCAAGGCGACGAUCCGUAACUGGUCUGAGAGGAUGAUCAGUCACAAUGGAAAUGAGACACGGUCCAGACUCCUACGGGAGGCAGCGGUGGGGAAUAUUAAACGAUAGGCGAAAGCCUGAUCCAGCCGUGCCGCGUAUGUGAAGAAGGUCUUCCGAAUGUAAAGCACUUUGAGUUGGGAGGAAGUGCAGUAAGUUAAUACCUUGCUGUUUUGACAUUACCAUCAGAAUAAGCACCGGCUAACUUCGUG